This 253-nucleotide ribosomal RNA is filed under the name uncultured bacterium. RNAcentral's name for it is "partial 16S ribosomal RNA". It matches the Rfam family "Bacterial small subunit ribosomal RNA", at positions 524 to 776 of the family's 1533-position model. The record is from RNAcentral.
UACGUAGGGGCCGAGCGUUGUCCGGAGUUCUUGGGCGUAAAGCGCGCGCAGGCGGCUUGACGCGCCCGACGUGAAAGCCCCCGGCUUAACCGGGGAGGGUCGUCGGGUACGGUCAGGCUUGAGGGCGGGAGAGGGUGGUGGAAUUCCCGGUGUAGUGGUGAAAUGCGUAGAGAUCGGGAGGAACACCUGUGGCGAAGGCGACUACCUGGCCUGUUCUUGACGCUGAGGCGCGAAAGCUAGGGGAGCAAACGGG